Panthera uncia (snow leopard) is the source of this 2733-nucleotide long non-coding RNA. RefSeq lists it as uncharacterized. The record is from RefSeq and is a predicted model, not a curated record. Lineage: Eukaryota; Metazoa; Chordata; Mammalia; Carnivora; Felidae. The transcript is spliced from 3 exons.
GCCGGGGGGGGCGGGGCAGCGUGGCCUGGGUGGGCGGGGCGGAGGCGAGCUGGGCUGAGAGGGCGGGGCGGCCCCACCUGAGGCGCCGGAGGCGGGGCGGCCACCCUUUGCCUCGUUGCUGCCCGCGGAGAGCUCCUGACUCGCGGCCGCCCGGAUCCCGCGAGGCAUCGGUACCUCGCGAUGCUGUUCUACUUGGACAGAGCCCGCAGGGGGGACGGUGAGGCCCCAAGACCCACGCUUUCCGCGGGCGCCCCUCCGUGCUGUCUCUUGGGGACUGCGGGAAGGGGGACCCACGUCCCCCAGUUGUAUUGAUUUCGCUGUUUGACCCCCUUCCUGCGCACCCCUCUCGCUGACCCUAAAGACCUGAGGGAUCCCAAGGCAGGGGCUCUCAUAGAUGGAGGAAGGAGGCUGCCACCUGCAGUUUUGGAAGCUCCUGUUGGAUUAGAAACUUAAUGAAUGCCAAAAUAUGGUCGCAGAAACGGCAGUACAUUUUUAAACUUUACAUCAAGAACGACCUUUAAUGUUACGUAGCCGUGCUAUUCAGGAGAUCGUUACUGGAUUUAGAGAGCCACGCUCCAGCCCAGACCCUGAGGAUCCAGAACAGUCUUCUUCAGACAGGAGCCACGGCUUAAUAUCUGAGACAUCCUCCCAACAAGGAGGUCUUAUUCUGGUUUUCAAAAGCUUCCAUUUGGGUGCAAUUGCAUCUUUUAUGAGCUGUUAGGAUAUGAGGCUUCUAAACUGCUCUUGUGAUAAAGUUCAAUUGGCAAUGUACACAAAGAAGGCACUGUGUGUCCCAGAUGAGAACACCAAGAGAAUGAAAUGUGGCUGGACUUAGAACAGAGACAACCACUUGGACUCUGGGACAAUGUUACCGGGUUUUACAAGUUAUAAAACAUCAUGCUUGGGAACCAAAAGAUUAUGUGUUCUCAGGUGUUGGGGGAAAUAACACAUCAGCCCUAGGUUUCAGGCAGUGGAAGUGACUGCCUCCUUCCUUAAGAGAUCUCUAGCAUUUGGUUCAUAAGAUUUGCCAAUUGGGUUUCAUUUGCCAUAUUGAGGUGAACUCAUGACCUUAUAAUUACCAUCGUUAUGUAUUAGGCUCCUCACGUAUGUCUGCUGGUUUUCAUUUAAACUUGAAAAUCCCUGACUUAACUUUGCAGGUCUCCUUUUGUCUUAGAACUAACCUCUGUGCUUUCUGAUGAAUGGGGUCAUUUCACUCUCUGCUGCAGGGCAGUCAGUCAACCGAGGAGUUGGAAAAGAGAGCAGAGGCUUAACCUUUAACACCCCACAGCUCAGCAGUGUAGCUCAGAGUCAGAAAAGACAGAGAUUAACAAACCACCUUAAAACUGGCAAGCAUCUCAGAUGGCCUGAUUUGAUUGCCAAGGUUGAUAUUUGAUCAAAGGACCAGGUUCAUGACUGUAUGCAAAUCUACAAACAGAUAUUCUGUUAUAUUUAACUCUCCUUUAUGGAAAUAAUUUCCUGGUUGGGACCAUCCUGCUCCUUUAGAAGUCUUCUUGGUCUGUACAGACAUUAAGAAUAGUGCCAUUCAGCUCUCAGCUUAGUAGCUGGCAUAUAGAUGCCUGGUAGUUGUUUGUUGAACAAGAGUAUGAGUAUUGAUUAUCUGCUCCAUGCCAGGCGCUCUGCUGGGAGGGGUGGGUGCAGGAAUGCAAAAUGAACUGCCCUUGACCGAAGCCCUUAAUGCAUACGCGAGAAGUAGAAUUCAAGGAGGACCCUAAUGGAAGGUGUAGUCGAGGUACAGUCAAAGGUGCUGUCGGUGUGAAAAGGUGGGAGACCUCUCAAAAAGCGAGUUGUAUUAGGCUCUUCAAGUGCGUUUGUUGGUUUCAUGCAAACUUGAAACUGAACUUGAAGUUGUACUAAGACUUCCUGACGCUCUGGGCAAGGAAAGUGAAACCCAUAGAAAGGAAUGACUCAGGAGAAGGUGAGGAGAAGCCAUUUGGCCCAACAGUUUUCCAUCUGCUGGGAAAGCCCUGCAGCGGCCCUCCCCCAACCCAGAACACGAGUGGCCUGAAGAAGGGUGGGCCCUGAACAGGUCCCAAUGGGCAGGCACCCAAGGUUUCCUCUUUUAACUUUUGCUUGAGUUUAAACAAGUAAAAAUCCUGUUUAUGUUUGAACAAAGUUUGUAAGAGGCAAUCGCAGAUGCCAACAUCACAAAGACUUUGAAAGCCACACUCCUAACAGGCUCUUGUUUUGAGGUUUUACCUUCUUCGGAACUUGCUGACAAGGGGCUCUCAGCCUUGCCGGAUGCUUCAGGAUGCACACGAGAAUUCCACUCUGCUUUGCGACACAAGAGGUUGGAGAAUGACUCCCCAAGGCUGUCCAAGUCCAAGCUUUGGAAACUGUGAAUGUUAACUCACAUGGCAAAGAGACUCUGCAAAUGAGAUCAAAGAUUUUGAGAGGAGGGGAUAAUCUGGGAUUAUCUGGAUGGACUGGAUGUAGUCACAAAGGUCCAUAUAAGAGGGACAUGGGAGAAGUCAGGGGAGGAGGAGAGGUGAUACAGAGGCAGAGCCUGUCAUGAUGCAUUUUGAAGACCAAGGAAGGGGCCACAAGCCAAGGAAUAACAAGGAGGUCACUAGGAGCUGGCAAAGCAAGUAUACAGACCCUCCCAUCGGAGCCUCCAGAAGAAACUACCUCUGCAGACACCUUGAUCUCAGCCCUGUGAAACUCAUCUCGCACUUCUGCCCCAGAACUGUAAAAGAAUAAACGCAUGUUGUUUUG